ACCCCGGCUUUUCUCAAAGCCACAACCAACAUUUGUCACGUGCACG
This is a non-coding RNA of Allomyces macrogynus ATCC 38327, 46 nucleotides long. The record is from Rfam. Lineage: Eukaryota; Fungi; Blastocladiomycota; Blastocladiomycetes; Blastocladiales; Blastocladiaceae.